RNAcentral lists this long non-coding RNA (2807 nucleotides) under Nicotiana tabacum (common tobacco). RNAcentral's name for it is "long non-coding RNA (NTAB_LNC007996)". Lineage: Eukaryota; Viridiplantae; Streptophyta; Magnoliopsida; Solanales; Solanaceae. The record is from RNAcentral.
ACCAAUAUUUACUCACUUUCAAAAGCUAAAUCUCCUAAAACGUAUGCUUUUAUACUUACAAAAAGAAUAAAAACAUCUUAUACCAAGGCCAUUAAAUUCUAAUCUUUUAAUCCCAAAAAUAAAUCUUCUUCCAACAACUCGUAGAACCGCACAAACCAUAUUUCCAGCAAUGAUGAUUUAAACAUGUCCAUCCUACAAAAGAAGAUAAAUAUAAUUAUAUAUUGAUAAAAAGAAGUUGUAAAGUACAAAACUACAAUUAAUAAAGAAAAAUAGGGAACCAAACAUGCCUAUUGUCCACUUACUAAAUAUUGCAACCACUUCACCACCGAAAAAAUUACAUUCUACAAACUGUUGUAUAUAAACAUUUAGCUAAAAGAAAAUUGAAUAUAAGUUUCAAAAUUAUCAGAUCAAGAGAACUACUUCAAAUAGAAUUGAAUCAAUUGAGUUGUAAAUCAUUCAAAUAUUCCACAUCAAAGCUGAAUGCUCCCCCAAACAAUGUUGAUGUACCUGAACCUACUAAAUACUCCCAAAGUUACAAUACUAUAGUCAAACCAAAUACCAUAUGAAUAUUGAUUCAAGUAAAUAGACUCAUUUGUGCAUGCAGACAAGAUAUUUAUUGUUUAUAUGAAAGAUAAAGUUACUUAGCAUGACUUGUAGGACUUGCCUCAUAUACUUCUUCCAAAAUAUAGCACUAUAAGAUCAACAAGUAUAAAUGGUAGCAAAAAUGUGAAGGCCGUAAAACAGAGUAGGGGAAACAAAAGAUACAAUUCACUAUGUGACACUGGUUCCAUCAAUUUCAAUCUCCUCCAUAGUUUUUCCAAUUCAUUGACAAAAUCAAGAAUCCUCAAAUAGCUUGGUGAAAUAGAAAGGAGACUCUGAGUAGUACACUCGAAAGAAUUCAGCAUUACUAGCUAUGUAGGCAAUGUCCAAGAUAUAAAAUAUAGCGGACCAACAAAAAAAUUGUAGACUGAACAGAGUUAGUUUUUAAAAAAUGAAUAGACUUAACUAGUUGUGCGUUUGAAAUUACACAGUAAGACCAGCUCUAUCGAAAACAUGUACAACAGUCAUGCCAUAAUCAAAAUUAUAAGUUGCAAGAUAUAUUGGACCAUCAUAAGAAAAAAGAGAUGCAUUCGGUAAUCGAUAGUGUCAGAACAGAGACAAUAGCCUUUUUCCUUGAGUUUCUUCCUAGGUUGCCUAACAUAAAAAAGGAUAAAGGUAGGCCAUGGUUUGAAAUCUUUAACUAAUAUUCCUAUGUGAUUAGAGAACAAUCCACUCAAGCUAUUAUAGAAAGAACCAAAUUCUCUAUAUAUGAAAUUUGUAAAGAGUAAUUUCUUACUUUAUGCUAAGUUAAAAUCUUUUUUUCUCAAAACAAGUACUGGUGAAUACAAUGAGAAUUGUAAAUGACUAAGUGAUCUUUAGAAAAAUCAGUAGAUCAAUUGUUCAGAUAUUUAAGACAAUUAUCAAUAAACUAAUUAACUUGUAGAAAUUGGGCUUAGGGAUCAAGGAAACAUAUACUAUGAACUGUUGCAUUUUGUACUGAUUUCUCUUUGCAGAUCAAAGGUUUCAUUUCUUAUUGAUUAACUCAUGAAUAUUUAUUUAUAUGUGUUUAAAUCUCUACUGCACAUUAAACAAUAAAGGUUUCUAUUAAAGCAGAGUAUUACUUCAUUUUCUCCAUCUCAUGUUUAUUAGCAAGAGUUUUUCUCUCCGCACUUGUGAUAUCCUGAGAAUAAAGGAGGGAAGUAUAAUUGGUAGUAUAGAUAAUUCAAGAGCAAUUAUACACAAAUAUACAAGUGGAACUACUAACCGGCCCUAGCAGCUUAUUAAAAAAUAGUGAAUGAAUGAUAAUUGGUAGCACAAAUAAGGCUUUAUGGAUAUAAAACACAAAGAUUUAUUUCUUGAAAUCCCUGUAGUAUUGGAAAAAGUUUAUUCUUCUGGUUUUUUGCUCACUUGUAAUUACUACAACACUUUCUUAGUGCUAGUUUUAUAAUAUAAUUACCUUUCUAUAAAAAAAUGGAAUUACUUCUUGAACCUCAAAAUUCUUUGGUGAAAGACACUAAGAUUUAUCAAUAAAACUAAGGAACAAAAAAGUCACUAGAGUUUUAAUUUCAACAAGGCAACUAAUCAUGUUAAGCUCCUAGUUGAAAUCACAGUAAUUGUUAGAUUUCACCAAAUUUUCUAAGAGAACAGAUAACAUCUAAUCUCACAAAAUAUCCAAUCCCUUGGAACCCGAAAAGCCCAUUGAAACCAGAGAUCCAAAUAUGACAUCUUCCUUAAGAUGAAUAGUUGAUAGUAAUACUCAGAUCACCAAAUGUAACUAUUUUCACUCCGAGUUUUCAUCACUAAUAAGGAUAGAAUCAGUACAAUUGAAAUGCAUUAAAUCAAUUUUCAAACAUAGAUGCUAAAGAAACGAAUAUAGACAAAGCAGAACCUUUUACAGUUAGAUGUGGAAAUCAAAGUACCACAACCAAAGAGAGACUUCCGUCCACAAAGCCAGAAACAACCUAUUCUUUAGGAGUAUUACAACCUCAAAAAUAUAGCCAAAGCAGAUGCCAAAAUCUACAUCUAUCCCAAUUCCAAAAAGCACAAAUAUACUAAAAAUAUAAAAUUAUAGUCACAAUCUGCUUGUGGAUCUAUCAAUCAAUAGAAAAGAACAUAAUAUUUUUUUUAAAAAAAAGUAAAAUAGAUAUAUCAACCGAAUAAGGCAUGAGACCAUUGAUUAGAACUGGAAUGGAGCUCUAAGUACUGAUGUGGAUGGACCACACUAUCAUUAUUUAGAACCUGCAAGAAAAUGGUUUAUUUGAUGCCCU